AGCAGCCGCGGUAAUUCCAGCUCCAAUAGCGUAUAUUAAAGUUGUUGCAGUUAAAAAGCUCGUAGUUGAAUUUCGGGAUCAGUACGCUGGUCAUGCCUUUGGUAUGCACUGGUGUCACUGGUUUCUCCCUUCUGAAGAACCGUGAUGUCAUUAAUUUGGUGUCGCGGGGAAUCAGGACUGUUACUUUGAAAAAAUUAGAGUGUUUAAAGCAGGCUCACGCUUGAAUACAUUAGCAUGGAAUAAUGAAAUAGGACGUUUGACCCUAUUUUGUUGGUUUCUAGGAUCGACGUAAUGAUUAAUAGGGAUAGUUGGGGGCAUUAGUAUUCAAUUGUCAGAGGUGAAAUUCUUGGAUUUAUUGAAGACUAACUACUGCGAAAGCAUUUGCCAAGGAUGUUUUCAUUAAUCAAGAACGAAAGUUAGGGGAUCGAGGACGAUCAGAUACCGUCGUAGUCUUAACCAUAAACUAUGCCGACUAGGGAUCGGAUGAUGUUAAUUUUAUAAUGACUC
RNAcentral lists this ribosomal RNA (507 nucleotides) under uncultured Glomeromycotina. RNAcentral's name for it is "SSU rRNA". It matches the Rfam family "Eukaryotic small subunit ribosomal RNA", at positions 569 to 1077 of the family's 1831-position model. The record is from RNAcentral. Lineage: Eukaryota; Fungi; Glomeromycota.